This 810-nucleotide long non-coding RNA is filed under the name Anser brachyrhynchus (Pink-footed goose). Its description in RNAcentral is "lncRNA (ENSABRG00000014925.1)". The record is from RNAcentral. Lineage: Eukaryota; Metazoa; Chordata; Aves; Anseriformes; Anatidae.
CUAUCCUUAAAUAUGAAGUAAAAGUCACCAACUAACUCAUGUAGUUUCCGUUCAGCUCUUGGGACAGUGUCCAUCUGCCACAGUGGGAGCAGAUUGCUACACCUGAUCUGGAGAACACCUCAAAGUCUCUACCAGACCUGGGAGUGCCUCUGUUGCCCCAGUUUUUGCAUUUAUUAGAGGGGGAGAAUUGGUGCAAUUAGGACUGAAGCGCAGCCACUCCCUAUAACUAGCAGUUACUAACUUGUGCUGAGGUAUUACAGAGAACACCCAAGGACUGCAGCCAUUUGUGCUUGCCUGUAUGCUGUUAUUCACUGAUGUAGUGCUUGCUUCCCCCUCUGCCUGACAUGCUGAUGAUGAGGGUCAUGAAAGAAUCAGCUGACUAAGAUCUGGCAAAGACUAUGGAUCGAGGAAUUUGAAGUCCUAAUUCAUUGCUCAGAUCUGAACUAUCAUCUUCACCCACGUCCUAAGUUAUUAUAUCAAGAAGUAAGACCAAGGUAAUUCUUAAGUUUUCCAAUAUAUUCAUCUGUCACCAGAGCUCCACGUGAAGUCCUCUGCUGUUCCUUCAUCUGACCGGCAGUGCGACAGAAAGGCCUGGAGCUGGUCGGGGCCAACCCCAGGCCUGAGUGCUGGGCGCGUGAGCUAUCCCUGCAAGGCUGGCAGAUUGUCGAUAAAUGCAGUAAACAACAGGCUGCUUUCUUUCAGAACAAGUUAUAUGAAGUCGUCAUCCAUUUGGCGAUACAUAUUUGUAUCUAAGCCCAUCCUUUCAAGCUCCUCUCACUUGACUGAUCAUUUCUUGGUAUCCCAGGAGAA